GUUGUAUAGUCAAGUAAUUAAGUGCAUGUGGUGGAUGCCUUGGCAGUCAGAGGCGAUGAAAGACGUGAUAGCCUGCGAAAAGCUCCGGGGAGGCGGCAAAUAUCCUUUGAUCCGGAGAUGUCUGAAUGGGGGAACCCACCUACUUUAAGGUAGGUAUUGCAACAUGAAUACAUAGUGUUGCAAGGCGAACGAGGGGAAGUGAAACAUCUCAGUACCCUUAGGAAAAGAAAUCAAUUGAGAUUCCCUCAGUAGCGGCGAGCGAACGGGGAUCAGCCCAUUAAGUUAUGUGUGUUUUAGUGGAACGCUCUGGGAAGUGCGAACGUAGAGGGUGAUAUUCCCGUACACGAAAGGGCACACAUAAUGAUGACGAGUAGGGCGAGGCACGUGAAACCUUGUCUGAAUAUGGGGGGACCAUCCUCCAAGGCUAAAUACUCCUGACUGACCGAUAGUGAACCAGUACCGUGAGGGAAAGGCGAAAAGAACCCCUGUGAGGGGAGUGAAAUAGAUCCUGAAACCGCAUGCAUACAAGCAGUGGGAGCACCUUCGUGGUGUGACUGCGUACCUUUUGUAUAAUGGGUCAGCGACUUAUAUUCAGUAGCGAGGUUAACCGUAUAGGGGAGCCGUAGAGAAAUCGAGUCUUAAUAGGGCGUUUAGUUGCUGGGUAUAGACCCGAAACCAGGCGAUCUAUCCAUGAGCAGGUUGAAGGUUGGGUAACACUAACUGGAGGACCGAACCCACUGUCGUUGAAAAGCCAGGGGAUGACUUGUGGAUAGGGGUGAAAGGCUAAUCAAGCCUGGUGAUAGCUGGUUCUCCCCGAAAGCUAUUUAGGUAGCGCCUCGGACGAAUACCAUAGGGGGUAGAGCACUGUUUCGGCUAGGGGGUCAUCCCGACUUACCAAACCGAUGCAAACUCCGAAUACCUAUGAGUACUAUCCGGGAGACAGACUGCGGGUGCUAACGUCCGUAGUCAAGAGGAAAACAAUCCAGACCGCCAGCUAAGGCCCCAAAAUCAUAGUUAAGUGGGAAACGAUGUGGGAAGGCAUAGACAGCUAGGAGGUUGGCUUAGAAGCAGCCACCCUUUAAAGAAAGCGUAAUAGCUCACUAGUCGAGUCGGCCUGCGCGGAAGAUGUAACGGGGCUAAAACUAUGUGCCGAAGCUGCGGAUGUAUACUUUGUAUACGUGGUAGGGGAGCGUUCUGUAAGCCGAUGAAGGUGUGUUGAGAAGCAUGCUGGAGGUAUCAGAAGUGCGAAUGCUGACGUGAGUAACGACAAAACGGGUGAAAAACCCGUUCGCCGAAAGACCAAGGGUUCCAGUCCAACGUUAAUCGGGGCUGGGUGAGUCGACCCCUAAGGCGAGGCCGAAAGGCGUAGUCGAUGGGAAAAUGGUUAAUAUUCCAUUACUUCUGUGUAAUGCGAUGAGAGGACGGAGAAGGCUAAAUCAGCCUGGCGUUGGUUGUCCAGGUGAAAGGAUGUAGGCAUGUAUCUUAGGCAAAUCCGGGGUACUCUAUGCUGAGAUCUGAUAGCAAGCUGUACUUGUACAGCGAAGUGGUUGAUGCCAUGCUUCCAGGAAAAGUCUCUAAGCUUCAGUUACACAGGAAUCGUACCCGAAACCGACACAGGUGGUCAGGUCGAGUAGACCAAGGCGCUUGAGAGAACUCUGCUGAAGGAACUAGGCAAAAUGGUACCGUAACUUCGGGAGAAGGUACGCUGUUGUUGGUGAUGGAACUCGCUUCCUGAGCUGACGACAGCCGCAGAAACCAGGCCGCUGCAACUGUUUAUUAAAAACAUAGCACUCUGCAAACACGAAAGUGGACGUAUAGGGUGUGAUGCCUGCCCGGUGCUGGAAGGUUAAUUGAUGGGGUUAGCGUAAGCGAAGCUCUUGAUCGAAGCCCCAGUAAACGGCGGCCGUAACUAUAACGGUCCUAAGGUAGCGAAAUUCCUUGUCGGGUAAGUUCCGACCUGCACGAAUGGCAUAAUGAUGGCGGCGCUGUCUCCAGCAGAGGCUCAGUGAAAUCGAAAUCGCUGUGAAGAUGCAGUGUACCCGCGGCUAGACGGAAAGACCCCGUGAACCUUUACUGCAGCUUGACACUGAACUUUGACCUUACUUGUGUAGGAUAGGUGGGAGGCUUUGAAGCUGGAACGCUAGUUCCAGUGGAGCCGUCCUUGAAAUACCACCCUGGUAAUGUUGAGGUUCUAACUCUGUCCCGUGAUCCGGGACGAGGACCGUGUCUGGUGGGUAGUUUGACUGGGGCGGUCUCCUCCUAAAGAGUAACGGAGGAGUACGAAGGUGCGCUCAGCGUGGUCGGAAAUCACGCGUAGAGUAUAAAGGCAAAAGCGCGCUUAACUGCGAGACCCACAAGUCGAGCAGGUACGAAAGUAGGUCUUAGUGAUCCGGUGGUUCUGUAUGGAAGGGCCAUCGCUCAACGGAUAAAAGGUACUCUGGGGAUAACAGGCUGAUACCGCCCAAGAGUUCAUAUCGACGGCGGUGUUUGGCACCUCGAUGUCGGCUCAUCUCAUCCUGGGGCUGAAGCAGGUCCCAAGGGUAUGGCUGUUCGCCAUUUAAAGAGGUACGCGAGCUGGGUUUAGAACGUCGUGAGACAGUUCGGUCCCUAUCUACCGUGGGCGCUGGAAAUUUGAGAGGAUCUGCUCCUAGUACGAGAGGACCAGAGUGGACGAACCUCUGGUGUACCGGUUGUGACGCCAGUCGCAUCGCCGGGUAGCUAUGUUCGGAAGGGAUAACCGCUGAAAGCAUCUAAGCGGGAAGCCUACCUCAAGAUAAGAUUUCCCUAGGACUUUAUGUCCUCUAAAGAGCCGUUCGAGACUAGGACGUUGAUAGGUUGGAUGUGGAAGCAUAGUGAUAUGUGAAGCUGACCAAUACUAAUUGCUCGUGAGGCUUGACUAUACAACACCCAAGCAGUUG
RNAcentral lists this ribosomal RNA (2918 nucleotides) under Acinetobacter baumannii. Its description in RNAcentral is "bacterial LSU rRNA". It matches the Rfam family "Bacterial large subunit ribosomal RNA". The record is from RNAcentral. Lineage: Bacteria; Pseudomonadati; Pseudomonadota; Gammaproteobacteria; Moraxellales; Moraxellaceae. RNAcentral also lists the same sequence under 12 other names.